Molecule: long non-coding RNA, 1751 nt
Organism: Strigops habroptila (Kakapo)
Lineage: Eukaryota; Metazoa; Chordata; Aves; Psittaciformes; Psittacidae
Exons: 5
Source: RefSeq, a predicted model, not a curated record
UGUGUUUGGUUGGAAUCAAGUGGGCAAAAAACUGAAAAAUUGGAAAUAUUUGGAAAAAAUUUCUACUAUUCUUUGUAGAAAUGAGUAUGGGUUUUGUGGGGAGAAGGGAGACACAUCUUCCUCUUUCUCUAUAAAGAAAAUAGGGUUUUGAAAGAUACAUUUUAAUGGACAUCGAUGUCACCGGUGAGUACAUCUGGAUCCAGCACCGGGUCUGAGAUCAUCAGAAAAGGUAAGUUAAUUUUUCCAUUGUUGGAAUUGUUUUAACUCCUUCCCCCUUAUAUUUUCCCUUUCAUUUGUUAUCUCCUUCAGAACUGAAAAUGGGCCAUUCAUUGUUGCAAGGGGAUUGGUCUCCCUCCCUACCACCCUCCUCCAUCCCCACCGGGUCCCUCUCUGCUGGGGCACAGUUGGAGUUCAGGGUGUGCUGCCAUUCCCUCCAGCCCCAUAGACACACAUGCUCAGGGCGCAUCCCACAUUUCCAGCAAGGCUCAGGCUGUCCAAGCGAGUUGCAUAUCAGAAAUGACUUUUACUUAACCUAGGAGGCCCCCACAUCCCCUUUAAGUUGUUUUUUACUGUGUCUUUGAGUGUGUAAUGUGCUCCAUAAACAAAUAACCUGUGUUUUUUUAACUGGGUCAUUAUGAGUUGAGUUGUACUUCAAGCACAGGACGCGGGGAGGAAGUGGUGAGAGCAGGAGCAGAAGGGGAGACAGCGGCAGCCUCAGACCCAGAGGACUGCGAGGAAGCAAAUUAUGGAUGGCUGCCAGAACAAAUGAAGAGCCUUUGGGGAAACCGUUUUGAGGUCUCAUGGAAAAGUCAGAGAACGGAGGUUAAGGCAGGCACAAAUAAUGUCAGACCUCCAGGAGAGCCGUUUGCCAUAGGCAGGAGGAUAUAUGUUUCUGCAAAACCUUCUUCAUGUGACUGGUCAGAAAUGACUCAAGCAACACCGAGAAGCAUUGGCUGAACCUUAAGGAACCUCACACUGGUGGAUGCUGCUGAAUUGAGAGGUCAAUGGACACACACAGAAGAUUAAGACCUAGAAUCAUGCCUAUGGUGGGAAAAGCUGCAGCAGUGGCUGACUGGAAGGGCUGAUCCAUCACACACCAAAUACCACUUUCUUCCAACCAGGUGACUACAUAAUGCUGCCAGCAUGUAUAUAUUAUCCGUGUCUCCCCACCCUGGCCUAACCCAAAUGCUGCAUGACUGAUUGUACCCUAGAGAAGCUCCAGCCUCUUCAGGGGUGCUGGAGGUGUUGGAGCAGGGCCUUGAACCUAAGAACCACCAUCCAACUUCAGCUCUGAAAACAAAGUGUCUCCGUUAUCUUAUCUUGAGUUCACCAAACUCACAGUGACUUAUCCUCGUCUUUGUGCCUCAGGAUCUCAUCUUUUCCCAUCCUUACCAGACUGCUCUGAAGAAACAUCCAUGGGUAUUUGAGAAGCAUUUGGAUGCUGUCAUGAUCAGCCUAUUGAAAAACCCAUGAAGAAAUUAAUAACUCUGUACUUGAUGAAGGGUUUGAAGGAUGUGUCAUGUAUAGUGCAGGGGGAACUUGUUUAGGCACAGGAUUAUGUACUUCAUAGAUUAUGGAGUAGGUGCUCCUUCAGAGAGCAGCAUCUGACCUAUAUUCUGGAAAAGUUGUGAGGGCUUUGGAGAAAACCUGCAACACCAGGGAUUUAGAGACAGUAGCAGCUUGUGUCUAGUCAAAGGGAUUACCAGCAGAGCAAAAGCUGAGGCAAUCUUGCCUUAAUCUGGAAAAAAGAA